RNAcentral lists this non-coding RNA (21 nucleotides) under Arabidopsis thaliana (thale cress). The record is from RNAcentral. Lineage: Eukaryota; Viridiplantae; Streptophyta; Magnoliopsida; Brassicales; Brassicaceae.
CAUACAUGCCACAUGGUAUCG